CUAUUAUUUCUCAACCUGCCGAUCCACCUGGAAACAAAGAGAGAGCCCCGUUGCAUUGCGGGCUGCUAGCCAGAUCCCGCAAUAUAUGACUUCUGCUUUAGAGAAGAGAAAUUCCUGCAAAGUGGAAGAAUCUCAGCCACAAAUAAUGGUUGUUCAAUAUAAAAACAGGCAUUAAAAGGAAAGACAGGAUGAAGCUUUUUUACUUUCCUUUUGUUUCUUUGCUUAGAAGAACAAAGGAUUGGGAAGAACAGAAACAGUAAAGGACAGGAAUGUAUGAAGUCAAAAUGUCUAUCCAAGAUCCUCUUCUUCACAACCUAUAUAUAGGAGAAUAUGACAGCAUUCAUAUAUCCUGAAUAAAUUAGAAAGUCUAUCAGAGAACAAGUGUGAGGGAUACCAACUCUGAGCUGAAUAAGGACACGUUCUCAUCAGGGAAGAUUUGUUUUUGCCUGCGUCUUGGUAAAGUUGCUUUUUACCCUCUCAAUUAUUGGACGGAAAGUCUGUCUUCCCCCUGAGGCCAUUUAAAGGAACACAGAUGACUUCUUUACAUUUUCCUUCCCUUCUUCAAGGCUUAAUGAACUUUAGGGUGAAGUUUAUAAAGCCCAGAACAGAGAGCUUGCUCAAAAACACUGUGAAGUGCCCGAUGACGAUCUAUUUUUUCCUAUUUGUGAGAAUCAGAGAUUUGGAGAGCUCGUCCUUUCGCAUUUAUGUUUCAACACUUAAGUGUGACUUAACAAGAUGUUUAAAGCUGAGACUGGGGUAGAAUAAUUCUUGAGACUUAAGGGAUGUUGAAUUUCACACUCUAUAUAAGGGAGCUUAGCAUACCAAUCUUUGCUUUAGGGGAGAAUCAGGGAGCUAUUCUAGGGUUUGCUAAGUAUAAUAGUUGACACAGCAGAGAAAUCUUUCACUUUUGGCUUCCUGCCAUGCCCUGUGAAUAAAGGAGUAUGCCAGUUACUUAUAGGACUGUUUUUCCCUUGGGAGAUUUAGUUCUAGCUCACCUUAACUCAUUACUGAUUCACGGGCUGCUGUUUUUGGCUAAAUGUGUUAGAGGAGCAAUGUUAGCUGAGAGGCUAUCAAAAUUUGCAACAGGCUCUUCCAUCAUCCCAUCCCUUUGGAACUCUGCUGUCAAAAAAUCCACUCAAGACACUGCCUUUCUUUUUUCUCUUCCAUCCGUCCCCAUGAGUACUUUUUCCAAUUAAGGUCAGCUUGUAAAAGGACUACAUUUAUUAUUCAUGUUUCUAUCAUUUGCACUUUACUAGGCACUCUUUUUAUUAAGCACCAGUCCAUAAAAUGCCUGGAAGUUCAUCCUUUUUUUCUAUUCCCCACUGACAGUUGGCUUUGAUGUAGAGGGGAGAAAUGGAUCUGCUCAACAUUUCUAGCUCAAGUAGAGUCUUAGGCUAGAUGGCAAAAGUAGUUUAGCUGCUAAGACCCUUUGGCUGCAUCAUUAGACCAGCAUGUAAUUAUAUAUUUUAUAGGUAGCCCAGGGUAGACUGAAAUCAUCAUUUCCUAAAACGGACUUAGCAAUUAUCUUGGUAGAUAGGUGUUUGUUUAUUGAGUCUUAUCACUUUAGAAUUAAAGAGCAUGUCAAGAGAAAUACUUUAAAGAUAAUCCCAGAGAAUUUUCUAUUAUUCCCUGAAUAAUAGGAGAACAGAUUUGUUUACUUAAAAGUUGUGCUUAGAGGCCAACAGAUAACGAAGUUGUACAGAUAGCCUUUGGCACUCAUGGCAUGUAACAAAGUGAAAAUUUUUGGUUUAUGGAAACUAAGCCCAAACUACCAUUUUGCACAUCAUUACAGUGAUCCUGAUUUGGACUGUUGCUAGCCCACAUAUAUCCACUAUAAGAGCAUUUUCCUGCUCCACUAAACCCUAGACUAUUGUGAAAUUUUUGUUGAAUUCAUUAGUACCAAUUUAACCUAUUAAUUACUGAUAGAAAAUACAAAAAAAAAAAAAAAAACUAUGGGACCUUUGUGCCCAAGAGUGACUUAGCUAGUUUGUAUGACGAUUUCUCUGUGCUAAUAAGUUGACUGGGGAAGUAUAAAUGACUAAAGGAGUAGGGUUACAAAAUCACAUUAUUGAACACAAAAACAACUUUUUUUUUCAGCAUCACCUUGAUUUAUUUUCCUAGUAUUUUUUUCCUCAGAUGGAAAAAUAAUUUCAUCAAGAAAACAAAUGCUUCUGCCAAAGUGAAAGAAUUUUAUGUCUUA
Molecule: long non-coding RNA, 2200 nt
Filed under: Homo sapiens (human)
Lineage: Eukaryota; Metazoa; Chordata; Mammalia; Primates; Hominidae
Description: HSALNT0129604
Source: RNAcentral